UUGAAUUAAUCCAUAUAAAUUUUUUAAAAAAUUUUAUAAUUUCCAUUAAAAGAAUUUUUAUAAGCUUUAAAUAUGUUUAAAAAUAAAAUUGUUUUCUUACUCUUCGUUAUUUAUAUAACAAAUGCAUUUGCAGUACCAACAAAUAUUGUAGAAUACAACGACAGAGAAGACAGUGAAGGUGACGUCAAUCAUGAACAUGAACAAACAGUAAAUGAAAACUAUUUUCCAGAAGGCUUCAUGAAUGCCGAAUUAUUGUAUAAAUACAUGACAAAACACUUAAAAAAUAUUUGCCAGUAUUUUACUCUUGAUGAUUGUAAAACGUUAGUCCAAAAUUACGCAAUGUCAAAUCCAAUUAAAGGACUUACACAAGCUGGUAAGAGAUACGUUGUCUAAAUUAUUAGUAAUUUUAUGUAUCUACCCGGAAUAUUAAUAUACACCCACUCAAAAAAUUACAAUUUAAACGCGAUUGUUAUUAUAAUAAUUUAAUAAACAUAGCCGGGGCAUAUUUAAAAUCCAUUUUAGCUGGGGCGACUUAAUUUUUUUUACUUUGGGAAACAGAAAAUUUUCAAUAGUUAAUGAGUAAACGAAUGCCUUAUGUUUAAUGAAUCGCCCUGUAUAUAAAUGAAAAAUUAAUAACUUGUAUUUUAUAUCGAUUGUAAUAAAAAAAAUUAUUUAACUGUUAUAAUAUUUACAAUGUUGUACAUUAUUAAAUAAUGUAUAAAUUUAUAAAUUUUAUAUGUAUCAACUUGAUUAUUUUAAACUAUGAUCUUAUCUUAAAAUAAUAAUCAAGUAAUGUUUAAUUUAAUAUAUAUUUUUUUUUAAACUA
Long non-coding RNA from Daktulosphaira vitifoliae (grape phylloxera), 826 nucleotides. RefSeq lists it as uncharacterized. Lineage: Eukaryota; Metazoa; Arthropoda; Insecta; Hemiptera; Phylloxeridae. The record is from RefSeq and is a predicted model, not a curated record. The transcript is spliced from 2 exons.